Molecule: ribosomal RNA, 304 nt
Filed under: uncultured bacterium
Lineage: Bacteria
Description: bacterial SSU rRNA
Rfam family: Bacterial small subunit ribosomal RNA
Source: RNAcentral
GACGAACGCUGGCGGCAGGCCUAACACAUGCAAGUCGAGCGGCAGCGGGUCCUUCGGGAUGCCGGCGAGCGGCGGACGGGUGAGUAAUGCCUAGGAAUCUGCCUGGUAGUGGGGGAUAACUCGGGGAAACUCGAGCUAAUACCGCAUACGUCCUACGGGAGAAAGCGGGGGAUCUUCGGACCUCGCGCUACCAGAUGAGCCUAGGUCGGAUUAGCUAGUUGGUGAGGUAAAGGCUCACCAAGGCGACGAUCGGUAGCCGGACUGAGAGGUUGAACGGCCACAUUGGGACUGAGACACGGCCCAG